GGGGAAUUAGCUCAAAUGGUAAAGUGCUUGCUUAGCAUGCGAGAGGUACUGGGAUCGAUGCCCACAUUCUCCA
RNAcentral lists this transfer RNA (73 nucleotides) under Salmo salar (Atlantic salmon). It matches the Rfam family "tRNA". Rfam says of the family: Transfer RNA (tRNA) molecules are approximately 80 nucleotides in length. Their secondary structure includes four short double-helical elements and three loops (D, anti-codon, and T loops). Further hydrogen bonds mediate the characteristic L-shaped molecular structure. tRNAs have two regions of fundamental functional importance: the anti-codon, which is responsible for specific mRNA codon recognition, and the 3' end, to which the tRNAs corresponding amino acid is attached (by aminoacyl-tRNA synthetases). tRNAs cope with the degeneracy of the genetic code in two manners: having more than one tRNA (with a specific anti-codon) for a particular amino acid; and 'wobble' base-pairing, i.e. permitting non-standard base-pairing at the 3rd anti-codon position. The record is from Rfam by way of RNAcentral. Lineage: Eukaryota; Metazoa; Chordata; Actinopteri; Salmoniformes; Salmonidae.